This 442-nucleotide ribosomal RNA is filed under the name uncultured bacterium. RNAcentral describes it as "partial 16S ribosomal RNA". It matches the Rfam family "Bacterial small subunit ribosomal RNA", at positions 338 to 795 of the family's 1533-position model. The record is from RNAcentral.
CCUACGGGAGGCAGCAGUAGGGAAUCUUUCACAAUGGGCGAAAGCCUGAUAGAGCAACGCCGCGUGCAGGAUGAAGGCCUUCGGGUUGUAAACUGCUUUUAUAAGCGAGAAAUAUGAUGGUAACUUAUGAAUAAGGAUCGGCUAACUACGUGCCAGCAGCCGCGGUCAUACGUAGGAUCCGAGCAUUAUCCGGAGUGACUGGGUGUAAAGAGUUGCGUAGGUGGCAUAAUAAGUAGCUAGUGAAAUCUGGUGGCUCAACCAUUCAGACUAUUAGCUAAACUGUUAAGCUCGAGACCGUUAGGGGUAACUGGAAUUUCUAGUGUAGGAGUGAAAUCCGUAGAUAUUAGAAGGAACACCAAUAGCGUAGGCAGGUUGCUGGGACGGUUCUGACACUAAGGCACGAAAGCGUAGGGAGCAAACGGGAUUAGAUACCCGAGUAGUC